GCCCUCCUAGCUCAAUCGGAAGAGCGUGGGACUUUUAUGAGCGUUCAAAGCUUGAUAAGAACAUCCCAAGGUCGUGAGUUCGAGCCUCACGGAGGGCG
Non-coding RNA from Orbilia blumenaviensis, 98 nucleotides. The record is from the annotation of a GenBank genome assembly. Lineage: Eukaryota; Fungi; Ascomycota; Orbiliomycetes; Orbiliales; Orbiliaceae.